This is a long non-coding RNA of Phragmites australis (common reed), 990 nucleotides long. RefSeq lists it as uncharacterized. Lineage: Eukaryota; Viridiplantae; Streptophyta; Magnoliopsida; Poales; Poaceae. The transcript is spliced from 6 exons. The record is from RefSeq and is a predicted model, not a curated record.
UUAAAUUUGCUGUGCCAAAUUGGCGAAGUCACUCCGAGAAGUUUAAGACUUGCAAUGGGCUCAUCCUGGCUCCGAAAGGGGAGACCUUUCGGCCCAACUCUACUAAACAAGUGUUGACUGGGCUCAGGCCCGCGAGCCACCGGGAAAGCAGGAGCUAGUCGCGGCAUGGCGGCCGUGGGAUCAGAGCUUGGCUCCACGGCGACGGCGCCGCCGCCGCCGCCGCCGCCGAAGCGGCGAAAGAUCGAACCACAUAGGAGGUGGAAAACCUUUAUUUCGCUCAAGGAUGUUAAUCCAGUUCCAACCAUGGUCUGCAGCAUAAACAUAAAUGACAAACACAGUGUCUAUUUCUUGUUCUAUGGAUCCUCGGUGGAUAGCUGUGCCAUGCCAAAUAGUGUUAGGUUUCAAUGUUUCAUGGCAUUAACAGACUGAGUGGACCAGAAGGGCAUAUCUUAACUUGCCUGAAUUCACAAAAGGAAAACAUAGUGCAGUCUAAUUCAUGUUCUGUAGAUCCUUCUCAGACAGCUAUGAAGGCAAAUAGGGACAGGCCUUCUCAAGUUGCCCUAGAUAAGGACAAGUUGGCAGCAUCUUCGAAUUCAUCAGUUUCCGGUGCGCUGCCAGCGAGACUGGAUGUGAACAAAGCUGGAGAGGCAAAGAGAUUUGCUGUCCUUCAAGCGCAACACGAGGGAUGCCUUGGAAGCUAUGAACUUUGUAGCACGCUAAUGCAGCAAGUAGCUUGGAACUCAAAUCUCCCGGUGCAACGUUCCUGAAUCCCGAUCUGUGCUCUAAUUAUACUGAGCAAAAGCAGUCAACGAGGCUAGGCUGUACUUGCAUGUUACAGCUCGUGGCUUGACUUUCAAGUCAUUCAUUUUGCAAGUACAGUCUCCAUGGUUUAUUGCACGUACUAUCUCUAUUGUUUAUAGGUCUAGAAGUUUGCGUUCUAAACAAAUUUUAUAGAAUCCGAUUAAAAAAAAUCUUCUUCUAUGAUUACUA